AUACGGAGGGCGCAAGCGUUGUUCGGAAUCAUUGGGCGUAAAGCGCGCGUAGGCGGUUUGAUCAGUCGGAUGUGAAAUCCCCGGGCUCAACCUGGGAAUUGCAUACGAAACUGUCAAGCUAGAGUAUGGUAGAGGUGAGUGGAAUUCCUGGUGUAGCGGUGAAAUGCGUAGAUAUCAGGAGGAACAUCAGGGGCGAAGGCGCCUUCCUGGACUAAUACUGACACUGAGGUGCGAAAGCGUGGGUAGCAAACAGGAUUAGAAACCCUAGUAGUCC
Molecule: ribosomal RNA, 274 nt
Filed under: uncultured bacterium
Lineage: Bacteria
Description: partial 16S ribosomal RNA
Rfam family: Bacterial small subunit ribosomal RNA
Source: RNAcentral